This 492-nucleotide ribosomal RNA is filed under the name uncultured bacterium. RNAcentral's name for it is "partial 16S ribosomal RNA". It matches the Rfam family "Bacterial small subunit ribosomal RNA", at positions 29 to 507 of the family's 1533-position model. The record is from RNAcentral.
AGUGAACGCUGGCGGUAGGCCUAACACAUGCAAGUCGAACGGCAGCACAGUAAGAGCUUGCUCUUACGGGUGGCGAGUGGCGGACGAGUGAGGAAUACAUCGGAAUCUACUUUUUCGUGGGGGAUAACGUAGGGAAACUUACGCUAAUACCGCAUACGACCUACGGGUGAAAGCAGGGGAUCUUCGGACCUUGCGCGAUUGAAUGAGCCGAUGUCGGAUUAGCUAGUUGGCGGGGUAAAGGCCCACCAAGGCGACGAUCCGUAGCUGGACUGAGAGGAUGAUCAGGCACACUGGAACUGAGACACGGUCCAGACGCAUACGGGAGGCAGCAGUAGGGAAGCUUCCACAAUGGGCGAAAGCCUGACGGAGCAAUGCCGCGUGAGGGAUGAAGGUCUUCGGAUCGUAAAACUCUGUUAGUAGGGAAGAAAAAAUGUGGAAGUAACCACGCACGUCUGGACGGUACCUAAGCAGAAAGACACGGCUAACUACGUG